RNAcentral lists this non-coding RNA (30 nucleotides) under Homo sapiens (human). The record is from RNAcentral. Lineage: Eukaryota; Metazoa; Chordata; Mammalia; Primates; Hominidae.
UCAAGGCUUGUUGUCCUGGCAACCUUGGAA